Molecule: ribosomal RNA, 439 nt
Filed under: uncultured bacterium
Lineage: Bacteria
Description: partial 16S ribosomal RNA
Rfam family: Bacterial small subunit ribosomal RNA
Source: RNAcentral
CUCCUGGUCGCUGCAGUGAGGAAUAUUGCACAAUGGGGGGAACCCUGAUGCAGCAACGCCGCGUGGAGGAUGACGCAUUUCGGUGUGUAAACUCCUUUUAUAUGUCAAGAAAAUGACGGUAGCAUAUGAAUAAGCACCGGCUAACUCCGUGCCAGCAGCCGCGGUAAUACGGAGGGUGCAAGCGUUACUCGGAAUCACUGGGCGUAAAGGACGCGUAGGCGGGUUGGAAAGUCAGGUGUGAAAUCCUACAGCUUAACUGUAGAACUGCACUUGAAACUUCUAAUCUAGAGUAUGGGAGGGGGAGAUGGAAUUAGUGGUGUAGGGGUAAAAUCCGUAGAUAUCACUAGGAAUACCUAAAGCGAAGGCGAUCUCCUGGAACAUUACUGACGCUAAGGCGUGAAAGCGUGGGGAGCAAACAGGAUUAGAUACCCGGGUAGUC